AGACAGACCAGACCAGCUCAACCACACAGACACUUCCUACCCGAUUUGAGGACAAAAGCAGAGUAUGCAAUUUGUGGGACAAACACACACACACACUCACAGAUCAGGGGAAAGAGACAGAAGAAAUGGCAAAAGUGAGAAUAUCUCACACAAACACACAACAGAGGGGGAAGAGGUAGAGAAAAUGCCAAAUAUGAGAUCAUGCUAAGCAGCUUGAACUGAAAGUGACUGGGAAUAUUUACAUUUGAUCAACCACCCAUCCAUUCUCUGCUCAUUUUCUUUUACAGAGUCUCAGGGGAGCUCGAGCCUAUCCCAGCUAUCUUAGGGCGAGAGGCAGGGUACACUCUCGACUGGUCACCAGUCUGUUGCAGGGCUAACACAUAGACACAGAAAACCAUUCACACCUAUGGGCAAUUUAGAUUAUCCAAUUAGGCUAUUGCCACUAACUGCAGGUCGUUGGACUGUGGCAGGGAGCCGGAGUACAAGGAGAGAACCCACGCAAAACCGGGGAGAACAUGCCAACUCCACACAGAACGAUGGUAGAGCUGAACUCAGGACCUUCUUCCGGUUGGGUAACGGUGCUAACCAGUGUGCUGCCCUGGUAAGAGGAGAGCCACUGAGGGAACGCCUUCCGCCCUCCGACGCCUCCACCGUGACCUCCACUUCUGAGAGGAAUUGCCUACAGAUCAAGUAUGGAGUGUGCCUGAAUGGACAUACAGAACUCCAAGGUUCGGCCCUGCGUUGAGGGUUUUCCCAAAGGAGAGGGCCCGGCGGGCGGUGCCUCACGGCCCUCCGCCUGUGGGAGUGGCCCUUUCUACUAAGGAGGCAAGAGGUGGCCAGGAGUCUGUCAGCGAGUUCUGCAUGUCCUGGUGACCCUCCACCUGUUUCACAGAGUCUCAGGGGAGCUCGAGCCUAUCCCAGCUAUCUUAGGGCGAGAGGCAGGGUACACUCUCGACUGGUCACCAGUCUGUUGCAGGGCUAACACAUAGACACAGAAAACCAUUCACACCUAUGGGCAAUUUAGAUUAUCCAAUUAGGCUAUUGCCACUAACUGCAGGUCGUUGGACUGUGGCAGGGAGCCGGAGUACAAGGAGAGAACCCACGCAAAACCGGGGAGAACAUGCCAACUCCACACAGAACGAUGGUAGAGCUGAACUCAGGACCUUCUUCCGGUUGGGUAACGGUGCUAACCAGUGUGCUGCCCUGGUAAGAGGAGAGCCACUGAGGGAACGCCUUCCGCCCUCCGACGCCUCCACCGUGACCUCCACUUCUGAGAGGAAUUGCCUACAGAUCAAGUAUGGAGUGUGCCUGAAUGGACAUACAGAACUCCAAGGUUCGGCCCUGCGUUGAGGGUUUUCCCAAAGGAGAGGGCCCGGCGGGCGGUGCCUCACGGCCCUCCGCCUGUGGGAGUGGCCCUUUCUACUAAGGAGGCAAGAGGUGGCCAGGAGUCUGUCAGCGAGUUCUGCAUGUCCUGGUGACCCUCCACCUGUUUCACAGGUCGUUGGACUGUGGCAGGGAGCCGGAGUACAAGGAGAGAACCCACGCAAAACCGGGGAGAACAUGCCAACUCCACACAGAACGAUGGUAGAGCUGAACUCAGGACCUUCUUCCGGUUGGGUAACGGUGCUAACCUCUGUGCUGCCCUGGUGUGAGUAACCGUCUCCCAGAAAUUUGAACAAGUUCAAUUACUUUCUUUUCAAGCUGCUUACACUACAUUGACUUAUGUUUUUACACAAUCUCAGAAGAGGAGAGCCACUGAGGGAACGCCUUCCGCCCACCGACGCCUCCACCGUGACCUCCACUUCUGAGAGGAAUUGCCUACAGAUCAAGUAUGGAGUGUGCCUGAAUGGACAUACAGAACUCCAAGGUUCGGCCCUGCGUUGAGGGUUUUCCCAAAGGAGAGGGCCCGGCGGGCGGUGCCUCACGGCCCUCCGCCUGUGGGAGUGGCCCUUUCUACUAAGGAGGCAAGAGGUGGCCAGGAGUCUGUCAGCGAGUUCUGCAUGUCCUGGUGACCCUCCACCUGUUUCACAGAGUCUCAGGGGAGCUCGAGCCUAUCCCAGCUAUCUUAGGGCGAGAGGCAGGGUAC
This is a long non-coding RNA of Oreochromis aureus, 2086 nucleotides long. RefSeq lists it as uncharacterized. The record is from RefSeq and is a predicted model, not a curated record. Lineage: Eukaryota; Metazoa; Chordata; Actinopteri; Cichliformes; Cichlidae. The transcript has 6 exons.